Long non-coding RNA from Bos taurus (domestic cattle), 884 nucleotides. Lineage: Eukaryota; Metazoa; Chordata; Mammalia; Artiodactyla; Bovidae. The record is from Ensembl.
GAUUAUUCCAGACUUUUCCCUUAAGAACACUUGUCCAGUCUGGUAAAUCUUCCCAAGCCACCUCUCUUCCCCUUUUUCCCUGGGGAAGCUGAGUUCCCUCACUCUCUGCUCUUAUACACUCCCUGAUCUUUAAAGAGAACCUCCUGGGUGCCAAUUCAGGGAAGACAUUAAAAGAAAAAAUAGGAUCCAGUAAAAGGGAGAGCCCAGACUUAAGUUGUGGACUGAAACCCUGAGACCAGACACCAUUCCCUGGAUAAGGGUCUCCCUGAUUUCCAGGGAAUAAAGGUAGCACACAAAAGACUUUUCUAGAUGUCCCUGGCAGCCAGGGGACAAUGCAUGGAUGUUGCUGUAAACCAGCAGUAUGUUGGGUUGGCCAUUCAAUAAGUGCCUUCUGCUUUUGUGAGAUGUAACAGAAAAAAUCCGAAUGAAUUUUUCAGCCAGCCUAAUAGAAAAGGUACUGGAGAAAAGUUGUUGAAUGAUGAAGCCAUCACAAGUGGAAGAAUUCAUAUCCCUUUGGACAGGUCAAGAAGUUGACUCCAAACCCACCACCACCAGCUACUUGUAACAAGAUCUCCUGCAGGCUUCUUGGAGCUCUCACAGUCUCUAAGGAUCAGUUCACCACACAGAGGUCUCUGAAGAUGCAAAGGUGUCCACAGUGCAUCCAGACUUUUCAGGAAGCAGGAAUAAAUAAAAAGUUGCUUGGCUUUUCAAGACAGAAGAAGGAUGGAAGAAGGUAAAAGCGGAUUCUUUACCAGCUGAGCCACAAGAGAAGUCUCUCGAAGAGAACAGAAAUUUAGAAGUUUAAAACUUAUUGGGAACUUCAUGGACCAACUAGAGAAAAGAAAUAGGGCAGAUUUGUAUCCUUCCUUUCUAUUAAACCAUGC